CAAGGAACAUUGCUUCAAGUUAUUUACACUAAUUGAUUUCAAAUAUUUCUUUAAAAACUUGA
Molecule: transfer RNA, 62 nt
Filed under: Balta sp. Cairns, Australia
Lineage: Eukaryota; Metazoa; Arthropoda; Insecta; Blattodea; Pseudophyllodromiidae
Description: tRNA-Val
Source: RNAcentral